GGUUGUGGCUUAGUGGUAGAGCACUCGCCCAACAUGCAUGAGGCACUGGGUUUAAUCCUCAGCACCA
This 67-nucleotide transfer RNA is filed under the name Marmota monax (woodchuck). RNAcentral's name for it is "tRNA.Val". Lineage: Eukaryota; Metazoa; Chordata; Mammalia; Rodentia; Sciuridae. The record is from RNAcentral.